This 300-nucleotide ribosomal RNA is filed under the name Triticum aestivum (bread wheat). RNAcentral's name for it is "partial small subunit ribosomal RNA". Lineage: Eukaryota; Viridiplantae; Streptophyta; Magnoliopsida; Poales; Poaceae. The record is from RNAcentral.
AUGCUUAUGGUUCAUCCAGAAUCGUGGAAUCCAGAGUGGUCUGUAGCAAGGUAUGCACGCACUAAUCUGGUCAGUGAGUAUAAUGUGUUUUCUCUUCCCCGCAGAAUAUAUUUCUUCAUUGAGUUCCUUAAUACAUUUUUGGGGGUAUCUAAACCAAUACAUGCCGUUUCAGCUCCUAAAUUUGAAUGUGGAUUUGCGACCAUCAGAUGUUUCCUGUUUCAAUUUAAAGUACUUGAGUUUAUGGUCUUCAGUUACUUACCGUCAAAUCAUUCUUCAGUAGCAAGUCUUGUCAUCCUAUAG